CCUACGGGAGGCAGCAGUAAGGAAUAUUGGUCAAUGGGGGCAACCCUGAACCAGCCAUGCCGCGUGCAGGAUGAAGGCCCUAUGGGUCGUAAACUGCUUUUAUACCGGAGAAAACCCCCGUACGUGUACGGGGUUGAUAGUAUGGUAAGAAUAAGCAUCGGCUAACUUCGUGCCAGCAGCCGCGGUAAGACGAAGGAUGCAAGCGUUAUCCGGAUUCAUUGGGUUUAAAGGGUGCGUAGGCGGACCUGUAAGUCAGUGGUGAAAUCUCUUUGCUUAACAAAGAAACUGCCAUUGAUACUGCAAGUCUAGAGUAUAGAUGACGUUGGCGGAAUAUGACAUGUAGUGGUGAAAUACUUAGAUAUGUCAUAGAACACCGAUUGCGAAGGCAGCUAACGAAACUAUAACUGACGCUGAGGCACGAAAGUGCGGGGAUCAAACAGGAUUAGAUACCCUGGUAGUCCGCACCGUAAACGANANAUACUACGUGUUGUGAUAUGUACGUCGACGCGACCGAACGACGAACGACGAUAAGUAAUACCACCGUACGGAGGUACGGCCGGCCGACGGUACGAACGUAAACGUUAAGUAAGUUAGUACGGACGUGAGACGAGCGACGGACGACGACGAGGGAGGAGG
Molecule: ribosomal RNA, 636 nt
Filed under: uncultured bacterium
Lineage: Bacteria
Description: bacterial SSU rRNA
Rfam family: Bacterial small subunit ribosomal RNA (bases 1-542)
Source: RNAcentral